GGUAGGGAAAUACAUUAAUGUGAGAUCAUUAUCUAAGAUGUUAUUGUGGCUCUCUAUAUGUAGGAAGUGGUCACAUAAGAACAUAAUAAGUAAGGAAAAGCAGGAAAAAACUAAUCUCUUUGUCCUCAUGGCACUCGCUAAGAACAGUACAGGAUGGCCGACAGUCAUGUGUUCCAUAACUAUUGCUUUCAUGGUGCUUUCUAUGAUGUGUUCUACCUUCCCAUCCUGCCAUGCAGGAACUGAUGUUGCAUUUGCAGAAUCUGUUCAUAAUGUGGUUUGUGAGACUCUCAAUCCCUGUGAUAGCCCGAGGUGCGAAGACAUGUGUAAUCGUAUAAUGCAACACCGAUUCAGGCACUAUUGCAAGACCCAUAACGUUCAGAUUCCAAACUGUUGUUGUAUAGAACAAUAAUAUAAUUGCUGGUUCUCCUGCUUGAGCCAUGCAAUAUUGAAUAAAUUUAUUUAAUAAAUUGAUGUCAAUAAAGAUGUUUUUCCGGUAA
Molecule: long non-coding RNA, 497 nt
Organism: Aegilops tauschii subsp. strangulata
Lineage: Eukaryota; Viridiplantae; Streptophyta; Magnoliopsida; Poales; Poaceae
Source: RefSeq, a predicted model, not a curated record